UACGUAGGGGGCAAGCGUUAUCCGGAAUCAUUGGGCGUAAAGCGCGUGUAGGCGGUUCCGUAAGUCCGCUCUGAAAGCCCAGGGCUCAACCCUGGGAGGCGGGUGGAUACUACGGAACUGGAGUACGGAAGAGGAGAUUGGAAUUCCUGGUGUAGCGGUGAAAUGCGCAGAUAUCAGGAGGAACACCGGUGGCGAAGGCGGGUCUCUGGGCAUGUCCUGACGCUGAGGAGCGAAAGUGUGGGGAGCGAACAGG
This 253-nucleotide ribosomal RNA is filed under the name uncultured bacterium. RNAcentral describes it as "partial 16S ribosomal RNA". It matches the Rfam family "Bacterial small subunit ribosomal RNA", at positions 524 to 776 of the family's 1533-position model. The record is from RNAcentral.